RNAcentral lists this long non-coding RNA (667 nucleotides) under Homo sapiens (human). Its description in RNAcentral is "long intergenic non-protein coding RNA 1905". The record is from RNAcentral. Lineage: Eukaryota; Metazoa; Chordata; Mammalia; Primates; Hominidae.
AAGUGAAGCAGCUAUCACAGGGUCUGGAACAUAAAAUAAUCAUGAGGCCCAAAACACUUCCUGAAUGAAAGAGAACCUGCAUUGAAUUUUGUUCUGUGGUGAAUGGUACAUCCCAGCCUUCUUGCACAUAGAAACACUACACAGCACUUCAGCUGUAUGUUUGGGGGCCAUUUUAAACAGCAAAAUCAUCAACAGGAAGCAGAAAAUUGUAAAAAUUGUGGCACUAAAUAGACCAUGUAAAGGACACAUGUUUGCAAUAAGAAAGCUGAAACAAGAAGGGGGAGUGUCACCUUAUUUGAUCCAGCUAGAAACUCAGGUGCUGGUAUUCCAGCAACACUCAGGCGGCUGCUCCAGGAGGCUGCAGAGGGGUCCUUUUUAGCCGUCAACAAAACUGGCUAUGGUCACGCCCAUUGGGAAACUCAUUGCUGCCUUCAAGGACUCAGAAGCUGUAGGAAUAUUCAGGCACAGACACCAGACCCAGCUUCAUCUCUAACUUGUGGCAAAGGACAGUACAUCCUGGGAUGGGACCCUAUGCUCCCCUAUGCCAUUUAGACAGAGCCUGGGGAGAGUGACUUCCCAGGGUAUCCAUGUUGGAAUCUCUCAUUUGAUUCUUAUUCAAAUGUAAGUCAUUCUCCGAGGCCCAUAUAAAGUCAACCUCAUCCUUGAA